Molecule: long non-coding RNA, 299 nt
Filed under: Pan troglodytes (chimpanzee)
Lineage: Eukaryota; Metazoa; Chordata; Mammalia; Primates; Hominidae
Description: long non-coding RNA NONPTRT017064
Source: RNAcentral
AGGUGUGGUGGUGCACGCCUGUAGUCCCAGCUACUCAGGAGGCUGAGGCAGGAGAAUCAUUUGAAUCCGGGAGGCGGAGACGGAGUCUCGCUCUGCUGCCCAGGCUGGAGUGCAGUGGCGCGAUCUUGGCUCACUGCAAGCCCCGCCGCCCGGGUUCACGCCAUUCUUCUUCUGCCUCAGCCUCCCGAGUAGCUGGGACUACAGGUGCCCGCCACAACACCUGGCUAAUUUUUUGCCUCGAAUUUUAGAAGCUCAAGGAAUCCUCCCACCUCAGCCUUCCAAGUAGCUGGGACUACAGG